This 1798-nucleotide long non-coding RNA is filed under the name Cyanistes caeruleus (blue tit). RNAcentral describes it as "lncRNA (ENSCCEG00000013324.1)". The record is from RNAcentral. Lineage: Eukaryota; Metazoa; Chordata; Aves; Passeriformes; Paridae.
UUCAUCGCCUCAGGAAACUUCAGUUGCACCUGAGAGAAAAUAGAAGCCAACCUGGAAGAAAAAGAAAAGAGAUAUAUAAUAGCCUUGAUAGAGGGAAAGAAAAAUCAGAUUAAUUUAUAUGCUCUGGAUGAUCUCUAAAUGUUUCCUUAAAGAUGAAUUAAAAGCCUUUUAAUUCACAAAGAGCUGAGUUCAGGGCCUUGUACAUCUUCUAUUAGAGCUGAAAACAUGAUAAAGAGAUGGAUUUUCAAGCUUCCCUUAAGGGUCUACUAUUGCAAUGGAAAACAGAGCAUUAAACUUUGCAAUUGGCAAGUUGUUUGUGACAAAGCAUCAGCAACGUCCUGCGCUGAACAUGAUUCACGUAAGGAGCAGACAGUGGAUACUGAGUUUGAAAUGGGGCUAAUCAACAAUCUUUGGAAUAAAGAAGUAUCUUAACUCAAAAAUGUUGAUGCAUGAACGAAUGUUAUUCUCUGUGCGCUGAGUUACUGUUUAGGGGACACAUCUACACAAGCAACCAUACUGAAUCUGUUCAGUGCCAUUCACAAGCAAAUUAAAUUUCAAAAUCUGACUGUAUGUGCAUGUGUGUGUCUAAAUAUCUCUAGAGAAAUUACUUAUUUAUUUUCUACUUUGCUCAAAUUUUUCCUCUUCCAGUGCGCUCAGUUCAUUCCUGGAGUCACUCUAUUGACGUUAACAGUGGGGUAUCAAGGAGGUAUUUUGCUCUUCUACUAAAUUUUUAGGAUAAAAGUUUCUGGGACAAGGCCACACACAGCUGCAGGCGAGCUGUCUGAUCCAGGCAGGGGACUGAUGUGGGGGUGGAGGAAGGUCUGCUUCUCUGGCCUUGGGGGACAGCACAAGUCCAAGCUGGGUAGUGUGUGAUAGAGCAAGGCAGCAAUGCAGAAAUGCUAAAGAAGGUGGGUGUCCUGGCCCCUAGACUUUUAGGGACAAUUUGAUGGAGGAUUGUUGGAGAGGCCCGAGGAAGGUGUGCCUUGUGAAAGAGCCUGGCAAAGAGCAGGUGUGAAGGAGGAAUGGUGCAGGGGAUGUCAGAGCGCUGUGGCAGCUCAUCUCAUUGAUGGCCAGCUGGACAAGGUGUCAUUGUGCUCUGCCUCUCAGGCAGACAGUAGUUGAAGAAGAUGAGGGGUAAGGGAACACUGAAGAAAGAGGAUGAACAGAUUACUCUAGCUGGGAAGACAGUGCUGUGGGUGUCUAACCUAGGCAGUGUUAAGUAUUGCAUGUAGCCUCUGAGUUGUCUGAAUGAACACAAAAAUGCAGGAUCCUCUUGAAAAUUAGGGUGCAGCUCCAUGUUAUGGAUCCUUCAUCAGUGGAUCCAGUAUACCCUCUCCCACUCUUCUUUGACCCCACACAAGGAUCUGCUGCCUCUAAUGCUGUGUCUGUUCUACUGCUGGUGUGUCCAGGACUGGUGAAAAUGGGAUGACUAAAGAAAAAAGAUUAUGUCAGGAAGACAAUAGAGAAACAGGUAGGUAAUAGGAAAAAAGUGCUUCUUUAGAACCAAAUCAUUUUAUACCUCUGAGUUAUCUGAGUUGGUGCAAAGGAGAGGGAUAACCAAACCUUCUUGGGGAUUGGAGGGGACAGAGAUGAGCAGGGGUGGUGUGGGUGGGGCUGAAAAGUUUCUAGCCAGUACUACUCCCAAGGGAUUGGAAAUACCAUAAUCCACUUUUAAUAGUUUAGAAACAUCUAAUGUUUCUAAAAAACCAGGUGUGCAUAUGGACAAUGGUCAUGUCUGGAGAGCAGGAGCUCUACCCGGUCCAAUAAAUCAGCUCCCUGCUGCUGAGCUGCUUUUUCU